This 1954-nucleotide long non-coding RNA is filed under the name Sus scrofa (pig). RNAcentral's name for it is "lncRNA (ENSSSCG00070017877.1)". Lineage: Eukaryota; Metazoa; Chordata; Mammalia; Artiodactyla; Suidae. The record is from RNAcentral.
UAAUGAGACAGCAGCCGCUAGGAAGGAGAUCCAGGAGAGGAAAAAGAAACAAGUUUUAUUCAAGCCCCAAACACUCGGCUAGAAAAACCGAAAAGGAGAGAGAGCAGGAAAGUGGGAGAAGAAAGGGGACAUUAAAAAAGAGAGACAGAGAAAACACAGCAACCCUUUUCCAUUUAGAAAUUGUCAAGUUACACUGACAGAGGUCACAGAAUAUCCACAGAAGCCAUCACUGCUACACCAACACGGGCCCUACGGGGUGGACAGGGUGGGGUGUGGAGCCGGGGCUUGCCCUGGGGGGGGCCCAACCUGGGACCCCCCUCUCAGAGCCUGGGGCCAAAGGCUCCUGGGGAAACAGCAUAUUGUGGAAGGGGUGGGAGAGAAACCCCCCAUGCGAGUAACACAGCACAGUGGGCGGGGGCUAGGGAGACCAGGUACAGAGGUCCCCCCAGACGUCUUGGUUUUCUCUUGGUCAAGCACACACUGAUGGACAGAGCAGCGAGGCGCAUGCAGCUGAGGGGGCCUUGACGUGCUGCAGGUCUGAGAGGGCCGAGGGGCUGGGGGCUCUGGAGGGGAGCCGGAGCGAGUGGUGCAGGGACAAUGGAACACACGCAGCUCACAUGCCUCCACGUACACCCCUCUGUCCACACGCAUACAGGUCUCACAGCUGCACACACAUGUCCUGAGCACCCUCCCACGCCAACCUCUUCCACACCAGUGGGCAGGUGGAUGCGUGCCAAGGCCCAGGCUGGUUACAUGCACUGCAGCGCACACGCCUCCCUGCACACACGUGUGGCACGUCAUGCUGGUGCACACUCAUGCUUCCUUCCCUCCACACACACGAGUAAGUGGACUUGUGCAAUGGACAUGCGCGUGCGCACACACACACACACACACACACACACAGAGGCUGUGCACAACUCCUCGAAGCCCAUAAAUGUGCAGGCACCAAACUGAAAGGAAGAUGCAAAUUCCACUGGGCUCCAGGUGAGCAGGUGGGGUGGGGCCCAGGGCUCCCUCCAAGUGUCCUCUUGCGGAUGGACGUGCCCCUCCCCCUCCCCCCACAAAGGGACAUUCAACUCAGGACAGUGACGAUGGGGCACACGUUCAGGGCACCGGGCUGAGGGUGGGCGGUGGGGGGGGGCAAGGGAAAAGUCGCAAGCAAAGAGUAAUGGAGCGGAGGGAGGAGGGGGCACCACUCCCCCUCCCCUCCCAAGUCAAGGGGUCUCUGUACAGCCAAAUCGAACCAAACCGUUUCACUGGACCACAGAAGCCAGGCUGAUGUGCCCACCCUCCAGCCCCCUCCCCCGCCAAAACAGCGGCCAGGGAGAGAGCGCCGUGGUUUCCUUUUUUUUUUUCUUUUUUAAAUAUUUAUAUAUAUUUAUAUUACGUAUAUUAUAUAUAUAUAAUAUGUAAAUAUAUUUUUAAAACAAUAUAAAAUGUUAAGACACUUCACUUAAAUGUAAAGAGUUGCCUGCAAUUAAAAGUAAUUGCAUCAUUUAUGAGGUCCUUUUUUUUUUUUCUAUUUUUCAGGGUUUUUUUUUUUUCGGAGGGAUUUUUUUUUUCCUCUUUUGUUAUUUUUCAAAAAGGCUUGCUUGCCUUUGUACAAAAAUGAUCCAAAGCUAGAAAACAAGGAUGAACCAACAAAAACAACAACAAAAAAGAAAGAAAUGAAGAAACACAACCCGGCUCCCCCUCCCUCCCCAACCCUCAAUAGCUCCCCCUGGCUCUCAAGCACCAGGCCGCAGGGUCUAGGAGGUUCUGCCCCUUCAAUGGCUCCUUCUUUCUGUGCUUCCUCGGUGAGGGGAGGGGGGGGUGACUAAUCCCAACCCCCGUCUCCUGUGCUUAUCCCACUUUGUGCUCCAAAUAGGAAUCCUGCUCCCUGGGGACCUCACUCCACCCUCCUCCUCCCCCACACACAUCAUCUCCCUGCUGGCUGCUCGCUGUGCCCUGGGGG